This 514-nucleotide ribosomal RNA is filed under the name uncultured bacterium. Its description in RNAcentral is "partial 16S ribosomal RNA". It matches the Rfam family "Bacterial small subunit ribosomal RNA", at positions 28 to 523 of the family's 1533-position model. The record is from RNAcentral.
GAUGAACGCUGGCGGCGUGCCUAAUACAUGCAAGUCGAACGCGAGAGGAGGGAGCUUGCUCCCUCUGAUCGAGUGGCGGACGGGUGAGUAACACGUAGGCAACCUGCCCAUCAGCCGGGGAGAACUGCGAGAAACCGUGGCUAAUACCGGACAAUCCUCACCGCCGCGGGGUGGUGAGUUGUAAGACGGUUUGGGCUGUCGCGGAGGGAUGGGCCUGCGGCGCAUUAGCGGGUUGGCGGGGUAACGGCCCACCAAGGCAAGGAGGCGUAGCCGACCUGGGAGGGGGAUCGGCCACACUGGGACGGAGACACGGCCCAGACUCCAACGGGAGGCAGCAGUGGGGAAUCUUCCGCAAUGGACGCAAGGCUGACGGAGCAACGCCGCGUGAGUGAAGAAGGGUUUCGGCUCGUAAAACUCUGUUGUUAAGGAAGAACGCCAGGUAGAGUAACUGCUACCUGUGUGACGGUACUUAACCAGAAAGCCACGGCUAACUACGUGCCAGCAGCCGCCGUAA